UGACGUCAAGUCAUCAUGGCCCUUACGGCCUGGGCUACACACGUGCUACAAUGGUCGGUACAAAGGGUUGCCAAGCCGCGAGGUGGAGCUAAUCCCAUAAAACCGAUCGUAGUCCGGAUCGCAGUCUGCAACUCGACUGCGUGAAGUCGGAAUCGCUAGUAAUCGUGAAUCAGAAUGUCACGGUGAAUACGUUCCCGGGCCUU
This 203-nucleotide ribosomal RNA is filed under the name uncultured Pseudomonas sp. Its description in RNAcentral is "partial 16S ribosomal RNA". It matches the Rfam family "Bacterial small subunit ribosomal RNA", at positions 1180 to 1382 of the family's 1533-position model. Lineage: Bacteria; Pseudomonadati; Pseudomonadota; Gammaproteobacteria; Pseudomonadales; Pseudomonadaceae. The record is from RNAcentral.